Molecule: unclassified non-coding RNA, 352 nt
Filed under: soil metagenome
Description: partial contains 5.8S ribosomal RNA, internal transcribed spacer 2, and large subunit ribosomal RNA
Rfam family: 5.8S ribosomal RNA (bases 1-120)
Source: RNAcentral
GAUGAAGAACGUAGCGAAAUGCGAUAAGUAAUGCGAAUUGCAGAAUUCAGUGAAUCAUCGAAUCUUUGAACGCACAUUGCGCCCGCUGGUACUCCGGCGGGCACGCCUGUCCGAGCGUCAUUUCAACCCUCAAGCCCUCCUUCGGGAUGGGCCUGGUGUUGGGGCUCGGCCGCCAUCUCCGGCGGCCGUCCCCUAAAUACAGUGGCGGUCACGUCGCGACUCCUUUGCGUAGUAGAUACACCUCGCUCCGGAUAGCAACGCGGUCCACGCCGUAAAACCCCCAAUUUUCAAUGGUUGACCUCGGAUCAGGUGGGAAUACCCGCUGAACUUAAGCAUAUCAAUAAGCGGAGGA